This is a small nuclear RNA of Acipenser ruthenus (sterlet), 189 nucleotides long. RefSeq annotates it as U2 spliceosomal RNA. The record is from RefSeq and is a predicted model, not a curated record. The transcript has a single exon. Lineage: Eukaryota; Metazoa; Chordata; Actinopteri; Acipenseriformes; Acipenseridae.
AUCGCUUCUCUGCCUUUUGGCUAAGAUCAAGUGUAGUAUCUGUUCUUAUCAGUUUAAUAUCUGAUACGAGGGGCCCUGAGCAAGUUCCACCAGACUUACCUUGUGGGGAGUUGAAUAGCCAGAAGUCUGCUAACAGCUCCAAUUCAACAGACGGUAACAGCCAAAGAAUUCUGUCUGUCAUAACCCCCC